Molecule: ribosomal RNA, 649 nt
Filed under: Salmonella enterica subsp. enterica serovar Bareilly
Lineage: Bacteria; Pseudomonadati; Pseudomonadota; Gammaproteobacteria; Enterobacterales; Enterobacteriaceae
Description: partial 23S ribosomal RNA
Rfam family: Bacterial large subunit ribosomal RNA
Source: RNAcentral
UAGAAGCAGCCAUCAUUUAAAGAAAGCGUAAUAGCUCACUGGUCGAGUCGGCCUGCGCGGAAGAUGUAACGGGGCUAAACCAUGCACCGAAGCUGCGGCAGCGACGUUUAUGCGUUGUUGGGUAGGGGAGCGUUCUGUAAGCCUGCGAAGGUGGCCUGUGAGGGUUGCUGGAGGUAUCAGAAGUGCGAAUGCUGACAUAAGUAACGAUAAAGCGGGUGAAAAGCCCGCUCGCCGGAAGACCAAGGGUUCCUGUCCAACGUUAAUCGGGGCAGGGUGAGUCGACCCCUAAGGCGAGGCCGAAAGGCGUAGUCGAUGGGAAACGGGUUAAUAUUCCCGUACUUGGUGUUACUGCGAAGGGGGGACGGAGAAGGCUAUGUUGGCCGGGCGACGGUUGUCCCGGUUUAAGCGUGUAGGCUGGUUUUCCAGGCAAAUCCGGAAAAUCAAGGCUGAGGCGUGACGACGAGGCACUACGGUGCUGAAGCAACAAAUGCCCUGCUUCCAGGAAAAGCCUCUAAGCAUCAGGUAACAUCAAAUCGUACCCCAAACCGACACAGGUGGUCAGGUAGAGAAUACCAAGGCGCUUGAGAGAACUCGGGUGAAGGAACUAGGCAAAAUGGUGCCGUAACUUCGGGAGAAGGCACGCUGACAC